CACAGCGCGAUUCUGCGAACCUUCCACAGCGCGCUGCACGAGGCCCUACAACCCCUCCCCUAUUUUAGCGGACGGUCCCUUAUAGUGGACGACCUGUGACCUGAUGGGUCAAGGGUCGUACCGUAUAUUAUGGGUUACAUUACAGCUACGGCCAGCAUAAUUUUUGUGUUCUUGUAACGUUAGACUUAGAGUAGAAGUAGAUUUCCUGUGUUUUUAUGUAAUUGUCUUUUUUUUUUUGGUUUCCCACCCCUCCCACGUGUGCAGAAUUCCAGAAAAGGCGGCUCUUUGAGUUUGCUCCUGAUCUAAGGCCUGGCUAUGGAAACAUCUGUACCAGCUCCUUGUCUUCGGCAGUAUGACACUGAGGAUGACCUUCUCCGUGACUACUGGAGAAGAGGAUACCAGUACUCUGAAAUUUCUCUUUUUUUAUCACAAUUUCACAAUGUUCACCUCAAUAUUUAUUUUAGAUUCGAGGCAAUGACAGACAUAACGUCAUCUUCGGGCGGGAUGAGGCUGGAUGUCCCACCAGACGACAACUUUGGCAAAUGCAUUACUCUGGUGCAUUUGACGAGGACCAGGCAAAUUUCAUGGGUGAAUGCAUCCAGAAAGAGGUGCCGAUCCCUCCGGAUUUGUCCUUGGCGAUGGAAUACCGCAUCAUGGUGCUCCUCCCAGAAGCGCUGGCUGUCAUUUACCACAUAAUGAAAGGCACAGUAACGAUGGAGGAGGAUAGGGAUUAUAUCCGGAAGGCGGGGUGUUGGGAAGACCUUUAAAGACCAAUAAUGUUAAAACACAACGUUAACAGUUCUUGAAAAUAGUAAUUUGGGAUACAGUAGGUAUUAUUCAAGGAACAAAGAUGUUUGGACACAAGCUACACUUGUCUGAUGUUAUGGAACAUUGAAUCUUGCAAACUAUCUUUUCGGUUAUUAAUUUCAGGCAUCAAUUAAUCCAGUUAGAUUCUGUCAAUGUCUAAAUGACAUCACGGAUACCACCUCUGUAAUGUAAAGCAAUUUCUAUACAUUGUUGGGGAAGACCACAGUUUCUAAGUUUAAGUAUGGUACAAAUCGUAUUUACUGUCUGAAUGUUUAAAUUUGAAUGCUCAUGAAGAAAUUUAUUUCAAACAAUCACAACUUUACUUACAAGUUACAAUGCUAUGGUAGUGGAUUUUCAUGUUUCAAGUUUGAAAGUACAAGCUGUAGAUAGUGGAAAAAAACAAAGCAGUGUACGAAAAGAGAUAUUGAAGUCCUAACAGUGACAUUAGUAAAGGCAAUACUCGUUUAUGCAAGAAAAGGUCACAUUUACAAUCUUUCUUUCUAGCUUCAAGCAAGAAAAAAAAUCAAUUAAACCUACUAGUAGUGUUAAUUAAAGAAAUACACCUUCAUAUCAUGCAAAAUGUUGUUUGUAAGGAUCAAUAAAAUUUUGUAAAAGAAUGA
This is a long non-coding RNA of Branchiostoma belcheri (Belcher's lancelet), 1427 nucleotides long. RefSeq lists it as uncharacterized. The transcript has 6 exons. The record is from RefSeq and is a predicted model, not a curated record. Lineage: Eukaryota; Metazoa; Chordata; Leptocardii; Amphioxiformes; Branchiostomatidae.